Molecule: transfer RNA, 72 nt
Filed under: Phrynosoma platyrhinos (Desert horned lizard)
Lineage: Eukaryota; Metazoa; Chordata; Lepidosauria; Squamata; Phrynosomatidae
Description: tRNA-OTHER
Source: RNAcentral
GCUAGUGUGGUGUAGUGGUUUGAGUGUUGGACUACAACUCUGGAGACCAGGGUUUGAUUCCUAGCACAACUA